Molecule: ribosomal RNA, 461 nt
Filed under: uncultured bacterium
Lineage: Bacteria
Description: partial 16S ribosomal RNA
Rfam family: Bacterial small subunit ribosomal RNA
Source: RNAcentral
GACGAACGCUGGCGGCGUGCUUAACACAUGCAAGUCGAACGGAAAGGCCCUUCGGGGUACUCGAGUGGCGAACGGGUGAGUAACACGUGGGUGAUCUGCCCUGCACUUUGGGAUAAGCCUGGGAAACUGGGUCUAAUACCGAAUAUGAUCAUCGGCUUCAUGGUCGGUGGUGGCAAGCUUUUGCGGUGUGGGAUGGGCCCGCGGCCUAUCAGCUUGUUGGUGGGGUAAUGGCCUACCAAGGCGACGACGGGUAGCCGGCCUGGGAGGGUGACCGGCCACAGUGGGCUGGGGUAGGGGCCAGGACCCCAUCGGGGGGAAGGGGGGGGAAAAUUGCGAAAAGGGGCGGAGUCCGUGUGGAGGGACCCCGGGUGGGGAAAGACGGCUUUGGGGUUAGAACCCUUUUGAAAGAAAAGAGGAGCGCAAUGACGGUUAUGUGAAAAAAAGGGACGGCCAACUAAGUG